This 262-nucleotide signal recognition particle RNA is filed under the name Candidatus Eubacterium avistercoris. RNAcentral describes it as "signal recognition particle sRNA large type". It matches the Rfam family "Bacterial large signal recognition particle RNA". From Rfam's summary of the family: The signal recognition particle (SRP) is a universally conserved ribonucleoprotein involved in the co-translational targeting of proteins to membranes. Archaeal SRP consists of a 7S RNA and homologues of the eukaryotic SRP19 and SRP54 proteins. Lineage: Bacteria; Bacillati; Bacillota; Clostridia; Eubacteriales; Eubacteriaceae. The record is from RNAcentral.
CCGAGCAGCUGGGGCGUUAGCGGUGCCCUGUACCAACAGUCCGCUACAGUUGGAGUGAUAUCCGGCCCCGGGUUUUUGAUUGCGGAGCUGCCCUUUAUAAGUGGCGUUGAUGUUUGGGUCUUACGCAAUAGGACUCUGUGAACCAGGUCAGGUCAGGAAUGAAGCAGCCUUAAGCAGAACCCCCUAUGUGCCGUGAGGGUGCCUGGGCUGAGUUAACUGUAGAGGUAACGUCCGGGGUCAUGACUCAAAGCCGGAUGCUCGG